AGAGUUUGAUCCUGGCUCAGAACGAACGCUGGCGGCAGGCUUAAUACAUGCAAGUCGAACGGUUGUAGCAAUACAGCAGUGGCAGACGGGUGAGUAACACGUGGGAACCUACCUAGGGGUACGGAAUAACUCAGGGAAACUUGUGCUAAUACCGUAUACGACCUCAGGGUGAAAGAUUUAUCGCCCCUAGAUGGGCCCGCGUUGGAUUAGCUAGUUGGUGAGGUAAAAGCUCACCAAGGCGACGAUCCAUAGCUGGUCUGAGAGGAUGAUCAGCCACACUGGGACUGAGACACGGCCCAUACUCCUACGGGAGGCAGCAGUAGGGAAUCUUGGACAAUGGGCGAAAGCCUGAUCCAGCCAUGCCGCGUGAGUGAUGAAGGCCUUANGGUUGUAAAGCUCUUUCGCCAGGGAAGAUAAUGACGGUACCUGGAUAAGAAGCCCCGGCUAACUUCGUGCCAGCAGCCGCGGUAAUACGAAGGGGGCUANCGUUGUUCGGAAUUACUGGGCGUAAAGCGCACGUAGGCGGUUUUCCAAGUUGGAGGUGAAAUCCCCGGGCUUAACCUGGGAACUGCCUCCAAGACUGGGAGAC
This 589-nucleotide ribosomal RNA is filed under the name uncultured Alphaproteobacteria bacterium. Its description in RNAcentral is "bacterial SSU rRNA". It matches the Rfam family "Bacterial small subunit ribosomal RNA", at positions 8 to 641 of the family's 1533-position model. The record is from RNAcentral. Lineage: Bacteria; Pseudomonadati; Pseudomonadota; Alphaproteobacteria.